CACCUUGGAUAAAUGACCUCUGCUUUCUGAGUUCUGAGUUCCUAAGUUGUAAAAUGGAGGUUAUCACACUUAUCUUACAAGGUUGUUGUUGGGAUUGAAUGAGAGAUAUGGAAGUUGUGUGAUAGAACAGGGUUGGGGAGGCUGUGUUUGGAGAAAUAAGGUCUUGGUCAGCAAUGAACAAUCUGAGAGCUACUUAGUUCAUUUCAUCCUCCCAACCAAGCGCACCUUUAUCCCCAUUUUAGAGAUGAAGAAAUUGUGGUUCAGGGAGGGUAGGCAACUUGUCCCAGGUCACACGAGUAGAAAGUGGCUGAGCUGGCAUUCAAACCCAGGUCUCUCAGGAACUGCAGCACUACACACCUUCCCACACCAGGCAUGUAAUGCAAAUGUGGAUUUUCUUGUUUCUGAACAUAGCGUGUUGGCUGCUCCACGGGGCACAAAGCGGAAGAAACCUUGACUUGCUGAAACUCGCUCGAAGUGCACUGCUUCUUAUCUUUUUCUCAUUUAUCCGCAGACCUCCCCCGCAGAUGGCCAUGGAGGUAGCAAGAUGGCCAAGAAUCUCAGUUAAAGAAAGUUCCAUUUGCUUUCUGUCCAAGAUGAACGUGAUUUUCCAGAAUUCAGCUGGAAAAAAUCCAGGGUGCACUUCUUCCAAGAGAAGGAGCACUUCGGUGGUUUGUGAAAAUCCCUUUUCCCUCAUAUUAAAACCUGAUUUUUACGUCUCCUUCACCCUCCCCUCACUGCCCACCCCAGCAUUUUGGUUUCUGGUGAUGUAUGAGAGAAAAAAAAAUAAAUUCUGUAAUCAGGGAAAUCUGUUGGAGAUAUUAUUCAAAGGGAACAUAUUUACUUACAGAUAAUUUUUUAAACAGGUGGCAAAUAAACCACACAGGAAAACAGUUCUUCAUUUAUUCAUUUAUUUAUUCUAUCAUUGAGUAAAUAUUUAUUGAACACCUGUUAUAUGCCAGGCACUGAGCAUUUACAUCAUAUAUUUCAUCUGAUUUUUUUUGUAAUUGCUUGAGCAAUUUAAUUCUAUCAUUAGAGUGAUAAUGUGAAGGGCUUCUCCCAUAUGAAUGGGUAGUUUCUUAUAGGACUUCCGCUGAGAGAAAAUCAUGUCUAUCCAAUUAAACAAAUGUCCACUCUAUUUUCUAACAACAAAAGUAAUAUAUGCUAAUAGUAAAAAUGCCGAACAAUAUGGACUGAUUCCAUUUAAGAAGUAGCCGCCUUUCUUAAUCCCAACUCCUAGAGAUUUCCACUGUGAAUGGACUGGUAUAUAUUCUUCCAAGUUUCUUUUUAAGCAGUAAACUACAAUAAUAAUACAAUUGUAUUUACAGAAGUGGAAAACAGCACUUCUGUUAUGCAACAUGUGUUAGUCACUUAAUAACUGAACCUACUGUGGUGUGCUUUCCACGCCAGCCCCCAGAGAACCUCCUUGCUGUUUCAAACGGCUGCAUGGUGCUCCAUUGUGUGGCAUCUUUAUUCCAGCAGUUCUCUAUUCAGGACAUCUUGGUCGUUUCUAAUUUGCUAUUAUUACAAGCAAUGCUUCAGUGGACCUCCUUGUAGCUACAUUGGGGUAUUUCUACAACUAUUUCUGUGAAUAGGUUCUUAGAAGUGGAGUUAAUGGGUCCAAGUGAUGAGUGCCUUUUUUUUUUAUUUUGCUAAUUUCUUAAUUGUUGUAUGAAAUGUCAAGAUCAUUCGCAUAGAAGACAUGCUCUCUUCUGUAAUCCUUUUCCUCACACUCCUCCCUUUAUCUAGUUCUACUCUUCUCAAGAUGUUUUUAAAGCAAGCCCCGUGGUAACAGGUGUUUGGGGAAACGGCUGUUUAGUUUGAAGGGAAGCAAAAGUAGAACGUAGCUGAAUCUUUCUUGCUCAGAGCAGCUCUGGCUGCUGGUGAAUGAACAAAAAUAGCCUCUUCCCUUCCCUGGAGUCAGUGUCCUUGUGAAUACUUGCUGACAUGAUCAUUCCCUUGGGAGAGCCAAAGCCUGGAUUUGCUUCUCUUUAUGUUCGGUAGGUGACCCGGACAGCAGAAAACAACAAUGAUCAUGGAUGUUUGUGGGGGAGUGGAGAGUGUCAUUUAAGCUUAAUAAGUGACUGUGUUCCUCAAAGACAGUGGCAGUUUGAGUCUCUAAAACUCCUUUGAAAUAAUAUGAUCAUUGCGGGGAUACAGCGUCUUGGUGAGGUCAGAUGAGCCAUUUCUAUGUUUGAUAAACUUACGAAUAGAGUAGUUCUAGUCCCAAUUCUUCAACUUCCAAUACUCGUUUACAUAUAUACCUCCCCAAACUCUGCACUUUACUAUUAUAUUUUUUCACAUUUCUCUCUCGGUUAAAACUGAAAACACAUAGCUGGAUACAUUGUAGAAAUGCAAAUCUUAUCUAUGUGGGUGUCUCUAAAAUUUUUACCUCUGUGUUUCUUGGGCCACAUUUAAAUGAGAGAUCUGGGUCAUCACAAUUAAAAGAUCCCAAGGGAACAUUCUCAAAAAGACCGAAGCCACCGCCACGGAGCUUUCUCCUCCGGUCCCGGCUGAGUUUGCUAACUCUGUCCAAAAGAGGGCAGUGCAUUUCCCUCAUUGGCCUGUUCACGUUGGAAAAACAUUCCAUAAAAACAGAUCAUUCUCAGCAUCUCAGAAGUCAAGCACCUUUCUCUUUAUCGAAAUCAGUCUCAGCACACUUCUAGGAAUUACACACCAGUGAAUGUCCGAAACAUAGGACAGACAUGGAGAUUUAAAUAUUCCUUUUGUUAGAAACAGCUCAAUUGCUCAGAGUCCAAACUAGGAACAGAGCAAAAUUUGUGUCUUAAAUGUCCUGAAGCUGUUUCUUUUUGCUGCUUUGCUUUUCUGCUUUUGUUUUGGUCUUUCUAAGCCUCACUGUGAUGGCAGGUCAGGAGAGUUGGUUUUGAACAAUUUGGAAUUAUAAGUAGUUUAAUCUCUUCCCAACACUAGUCAUUAUCAAGUUUUUGCUAUUAUCAACUUGGAUAUUUCUCAUGGGGGGAAAAAGGAGGUUAGAGGCCUGACGAGUCACAGGGCUGGGAAGGGGGCCGGAGCGAGCAGUUUCUCUUAUUGACGGAAGGGCCCGCCACUCUUGGAAGAAAAUUUGCCAUCGAUGACAGCCCCACACCGUUUCCCUUAGAUUGGCACAGUGAUGUUCAACAUAAUGAGACACUGGAUCCAGUGCCAAUCACUCUCUGACUGCCAGUUAGAGUUUCUAUCCUUCCAACUCCACUGCAAGGAAAAUAGUGCUGAGGAAGAAACUGUCCUGAGAAGUCUAGGGGAAGAGUAGGGAAAAACAGCCAGAGGAGAGGAAGCGCUCACUGUCAGGGCAGGAGCUUUGUCCCCUCUAGGACACCAUCCAGAGAUGGAAACCGGCAUCCCGAUGGGCCUCGCCCAGGCCACCUGCUUACUGGUGGAACAACUGAGACUCCAGCGGAGUUUCCCUUGUUUUCACUCCAGUGGUAGCUUGACCCCCAAGCCAGUCCCCAUGAAGCACUCCUGGUGUUCAAAUCCCUGUGCAGUCCUCUCCCACCCUUCCAAAAAAUCUGGACUGUACCUGUGAUUCACCAUAACCAACAGGUUGGGGCAGAAAUCCCACUGCGCUGGUUCCAGGCUUUAAGAAGACUUAGCAGAUUCCACUUGUAUGCUCUUGCAAGCCAUCUACUGAAUAAGAAACCCAGCUACUCCACUGGAGAGAGACCCCUGCCAAGGCCGUGGAGGGUGAGGCUCCUCAUGGAGAGAGAAACCACGUGGAGGAGCGUGGAGGUGCCAGGUGCAAGGGAAGAAGGCAUUUUCACAGUCCCACCCAGGGGAGCCUCCAGAU
Aotus nancymaae (Ma's night monkey) is the source of this 3799-nucleotide long non-coding RNA. Lineage: Eukaryota; Metazoa; Chordata; Mammalia; Primates; Aotidae. The record is from Ensembl.